Molecule: ribosomal RNA, 284 nt
Filed under: Ixodes ricinus (castor bean tick)
Lineage: Eukaryota; Metazoa; Arthropoda; Arachnida; Ixodida; Ixodidae
Description: partial small subunit ribosomal RNA
Source: RNAcentral
AAAAUAAAAUUUGAUUUUAAAAAAAUUUAAUUUUUAAACUAGGAUUAGAUACCCUAUUAUUUUAAGCUUAAUGUUGGUAGUAAGUAAAAAUUAUGAAAUCAUAAAAUUUUGGCGGUAUUUUAAGCUUGUUAGAGGAAUUUGCUCUAUAAUGGAUACAACGCCUAUAUCUUACUUAAUUUUGUAAUUAAAGUCAGUUUGUAUACCACUAUAUUUAAUUAUAUUGAAUAAUUAUAUUUAAGAUUUUUAUACAAAUAUAUAUUAAGUCAAGGUGCAACAAAUAAUUA